Non-coding RNA from Paramuricea clavata, 1238 nucleotides. The record is from the annotation of a GenBank genome assembly. Lineage: Eukaryota; Metazoa; Cnidaria; Anthozoa; Malacalcyonacea; Plexauridae.
ACAUUUACCUUGAAUACUUUGUCGUGGCUUAGGCAUGUUUUUAAAACAAUUAGACCAGUUUACGCUUCAAGAUCACCCUUUUAAAGUGGAAAAUAUUGCAAAACAACAAAUAUGCCGAGAACUUUGGUAACAUUCGCAAUACGCGUGACGUCACGUUUUUCAACAAGGAUGCAGUCAAUGACGUCAGAAGUUUCCAAUCCAUUUAUUUUAUUAUCCAUGAUCAGAGUGACACUUCUGGUCGCAGACAUGUAUCUAUUCUGUGACUCGAUAGUCCACUGACGAAUUUGAUUUGUGCACGCCCUUUUAUACUAACGGUUGAAGGGAUCUUUGUACAUGUGAUCCGACGAGUGGUGUGAUUUGUAUCCAGCCAAUCAACAUUGAGUUAUAAAAGUGUGGCAACGCAUUGCUACAGUAGCUCGUUCCAGACGUUGUCGCACUGGUCAAGUCGAUGCGCUGUUCAAUCGAUUAAGGUUUAAAUAUGUUCACAACUUAAAAUACUUAUCAAAAUAUCAUAGUAAAAUUUUGAAACUAUACCUAUGUGAACUUUACCUUACUUACUAAACUAAAUUUACUUACAAUUUUAUCGAACCCAGAUUUUGAUGACGUAAUAUUUUAAUUGCAUGACCGAGUGUUAUCUAUAGCUUGGGAUGACUCAUCUUUAUGCCUAGAGCCUGCAUGUCCAUGUGAAAGGUAUAUGUUCAUGAGACUACAGGCAGCUGCUCUCUUUUUAAAACAAAUCUGCCCACAAGAUAAACUAUAUGAAGAAACAGGUCAAUCAAAACAUGACAUCUUCACAUACACAACAGCAGCUAGUCUAACAAACUGUCAUAUCCUAAUGGAAGAAAUAAAUGCACGUUUUCCGAAAAACCGAAAUAUUUACUUUACUAUGAUUUGUGGAAAAAUAGCCAUUAUCUCUUCUCAUUGAGGUCGGGAAUCUUCGAGUUAAGCCCUUCGAGUUAAGCCCCUCGAGUUAAGCCCUUCUCGAGUUAAGCCCUGACCACGCCCUGAUUCUCCAUGACCACGCCCUUUUUCAAAAAGGGCUUAACUCGAAGAACGAAACACGAUUUGGGUUGUUCGAGUUAAGCCCCGGGGCUUAAGUCGAAAUUUGACAAAAAAAGAUGUUGCUCGAGUUAAGCCCCGACUUUUGAAGUAUGUCAACAAGUGCAAUAUUAAAUUGUCAAAUUUUCAAUACAAAAAAGCCAAAACACAGAAAUUCUCCCGAAAAGAAGUUAUAAAUC